Molecule: ribosomal RNA, 253 nt
Filed under: uncultured bacterium
Lineage: Bacteria
Description: partial 16S ribosomal RNA
Rfam family: Bacterial small subunit ribosomal RNA
Source: RNAcentral
UACGAAGGGGGCAAGCGUUGUUCGGAAUCACUGGGCGUAAAGCGCGUGUAGGCGGCUUGGCAAGUCGGGUGUGAAAUCCCGAGGCUCAACCUCGGAACUGCACUCGAAACUGCCUGGCUCGAGUCCCGGAGAGGGUGGCGGAAUUCCCGGUGUAGGGGUGAAAUCCGUAGAUAUCGGGAGGAACACCAGUGGCGAAGGCGGCCACCUGGCCGGUGACUGACGCUGAGACGCGAAAGCGUGGGGAGCAAACAGG